GACAUGUACGGAAUCCUUAGAGAUAGAGGAGUGCUCGAAAGAGAACCGUAACACAGGUGCUGCAUGGCUGUCGUCAGCUCGUGUCGUGAGAUGUUGGGUUAAGUCCCGCAACGAGCGCAACCCUUGUCAUUAGUUGCUACAUUCAGUUGGGCACUCUAAUGAGACUGCCGGUGACAAACCGGAGGAAGGUGGGGAUGACGUCAAGUCCUCAUGGCCCUUAUAGGUGGGGCUACACACGUCAUACAAUGGAUGGUACAAAGGGUCGCCAACCCGCGAGGGGGAGCCAAUCCCAUAAAGCCAUUCGUAGUCCGGAUCGCAGUCUGCAACUCGACUGCGUGAAGUCGGAAUCGCUAGUAAUCGUGGAUCAGAAUGUCACGGUGAAUACGUUCCCGGGUCUU
RNAcentral lists this ribosomal RNA (398 nucleotides) under uncultured Acidovorax sp. RNAcentral describes it as "bacterial SSU rRNA". It matches the Rfam family "Bacterial small subunit ribosomal RNA", at positions 983 to 1382 of the family's 1533-position model. The record is from RNAcentral. Lineage: Bacteria; Pseudomonadati; Pseudomonadota; Betaproteobacteria; Burkholderiales; Comamonadaceae.